Momordica charantia (bitter melon) is the source of this 640-nucleotide non-coding RNA. NCBI's taxonomy places the organism in Eukaryota, Viridiplantae, Streptophyta, Magnoliopsida, Cucurbitales, Cucurbitaceae. The record is from RefSeq and is a predicted model, not a curated record.
ACGGCAGCUCCUAUUAAGAUGGAAAACACUACACAUUACACAACACUCACAUACUCUGCUUUUAUAUACAUUUUAAUGCCAAUAUGAACUGUUCAGGAAAGAGAAGGGAGAAGAAAAAGGAAGAUCUAAACAAAGAUCGUGUGGUGGGGUGUGAGAAAGUCAAAGAGAUCGGCUUGCUGGGAGGCCCCAUGAUCUGGAGGAGAUUCCAUUGAUUCAAUUCAAGUACAUUGAUGAGUCAGAGGGCGGGUGCAUUCAUGAAUUUGUCUGUUGCAUACAUAGAGAAUUGAAGGGAGUUGAAGAGAGGGGUGGGUCUGGUCUGUUGUGGGAUCCACGUAAACAAUUUUGGUAUUUUAGUAAAGACGCGGCGAAGCGAAUGGAUCAGAAUUGGAGAAUGAUUGUGUGUGUUUUACUUGAUAUUAUAUUUAUUAAUACAGCCUACAGGUACGUGAUCAGUGAUGGUAUUGUAUUUUGGCUUAGCUUUUGUCAAAAGAAAAAAACAAGAACAAUAGGAAUCGCCGAAUAGGUGUUGGUUUGGUGGUGAUAAUGCCGUGGAACCCACUUCCAUUGUCUGGUGGGUCCUGCUGACGUGCAACGCACCACCAAAUUUCAUUGUUAAAUUUGGAUACUUGUAUUAUAGAAA